AUUGAACGCUGGCGGCAUGCUUUACACAUGCAAGUCGAACGGCAGCGCGGGGCAACCUGGCGGCGAGUGGCGAACGGGUGAGUAAUAUAUCGGAACGUACCCAAGAGUGGGGGAUAACGUAGCGAAAGUUACGCUAAUACCGCAUACGAUCUAAGGAUGAAAGUGGGGGAUCGCAAGACCUCAUGCUCCUGGAGCGGCCGAUAUCUGAUUAGCUAGUUGGUGAGGUAAAGGCUCACCAAGGCGACGAUCAGUAGCUGGUCUGAGAGGACGACCAGCCACACUGGAACUGAGACACGGUCCAGACUCCUACGGGAGGCAGCAGUGGGGAAUUUUGGACAAUGGGCGCAAGCCUGAUCCAGCAAUGCCGCGUGAGUGAAGAAGGCCUUCGGGUUGUAAAGCUCUUUUGUCAGGGAAGAAACGGUAGAGGCUAAUAUCCUUUGCUAAUGACGGUACCUGAAGAAUAAGCACCGGCUAACUACGUGCCAGCAGCCGCGGUAAUACGUAGGGUGCAAGCGUUAAUCGGAAUUACUGGGCGUAAAGCGUGCGCAGGCGGUUUUGUAAGUCUGUCGUGAAAGCCCCGGGCUCAACCUGGGAAUUGCGAUGGAGACUGCAAGGCUUGAAUCUGGCAGAGGGGGGUAGAAUUCCACGUGUAGCAGUGAAAUGCGUAGAGAUGUGGAGGAACACCGAUGGCGAAGGCAGCCCCCUGGGUCAAGAUUGACGCUCAUGCACGAAAGCGUGGGGAGCAAACAGGAUUAGAUACCCUGGUAGUCCACGCCCUAAACGAUGUCUACUAGUUGUCGGGUUUUAAUUAACUUGGUAACGCAGCUAACGCGUGAAGUAGACCGCCUGGGGAGUACGGUCGCAAGAUUAAAACUCAAAGGAAUUGACGGGGACCCGCACAAGCGGUGGAUGAUGUGGAUUAAUUCGAUGCAACGCGAAAAACCUUACCUACCCUUGACAUGUCAGGAAGUCCGGAGAGAUCUGGAUGUGCCCGAAAGGGAACCUGAACACAGGUGCUGCAUGGCUGUCGUCAGCUCGUGUCGUGAGAUGUUGGGUUAAGUCCCGCAACGAGCGCAACCCUUGUCAUUAGUUGCUACGCAAGAGCACUCUAAUGAGACUGCCGGUGACAAACCGGAGGAAGGUGGGGAUGACGUCAAGUCCUCAUGGCCCUUAUGGGUAGGGCUUCACACGUCAUACAAUGGUACAUACAGAGGGCCGCCAACCCGCGAGGGGGAGCUAAUCCCAGAAAGUGUAUCGUAGUCCGGAUCGCAGUCUGCAACUCGACUGCGUGAAGUUGGAAUCGCUAGUAAUCGCGGAUCAGCAUGUCGCGGUGAAUACGUUCCCGGGUCU
Molecule: ribosomal RNA, 1350 nt
Filed under: uncultured bacterium
Lineage: Bacteria
Description: bacterial SSU rRNA
Rfam family: Bacterial small subunit ribosomal RNA
Source: RNAcentral